Molecule: ribosomal RNA, 497 nt
Filed under: uncultured bacterium
Lineage: Bacteria
Description: partial 16S ribosomal RNA
Rfam family: Bacterial small subunit ribosomal RNA
Source: RNAcentral
GAUGAACGCUGGCGGCGUGCCUAAUACAUGCAAGUCGAGCGAACAGACGAGGAGCUUUCUCCUCUGACGUUAGCCGCGGACGUGUUAGUAACACGUGGAUCACCUACCUAUAAGACUGGGAUCACUUCGUGAAACCGGAGCUCAUACCGGAUAAUAUAUUUAACCGCAUGUUUCCAUAGUUCAAGACGGUUUUGCUGUCACUUAUAGAUUGAUCCGCGGCAGAUUAGGUAGUUGGUGAGGUAACAGCUUACCAAGACGACGAUGCGUAGCCGGCCUGAGAGGAUGAUCAGCCACAAUGGGACUGAGACAAGGCCCAGACUCCUACGGGAGGCAGAAGUGGGGAAUUUUGGACAAUGGGAGAAAGACUGAUCCAGCCAUGCCGCGUGAAGGAUGAAGGACUUCGGGUUGUAAACUGCUUUUGUACGGAACGAAAAGCCUCUUGCUAAUAAAGAGGGGUCAUGACGGUACCGUAAGAAUAAGCACCGGCUAACUACGUG